AAUGAACGCUGGCGGCAUGCCUUACACAUGCAAGUCGAACGGCAGCAUGACCUAGCUUGCUAGGUUGAUGGCGAGUGGCGAACGGGUGAGUAAUGCAUCGGAACGUGCCUUUUAGUGGGGGAUAACGUAGCGAAAGUUACGCUAAUACCGCAUAUUCUCUGAGGAGGAAAGCAGGGGGCCUUCGGGCCUUGCGCUAGAAGAGCGGCCGAUGUCGGAUUAGCUAGUUGGUGAGGUAAAGGCUCACCAAGGCAACGAUCCGUAGCGGGUCUGAGAGGAUGGUCCGCCACACUGGGACUGAGACACGGCCCAGACUCCUACGGGAGGCAGCAGUGGGGAAUUUUGGACAAUGGGCGCAAGCCUGAUCCAGCCAUGCCGCGUGAGUGAAGAAGGCCUUCGGGUUGUAAAGCUCUUUCGGCUGGGAAGAAAUCGCACUCUCUAAUACAGGGUGUGGAUGACGGUACCAGCAUAAGAAGCACCGGCUAACUACGUG
This 490-nucleotide ribosomal RNA is filed under the name uncultured bacterium. Its description in RNAcentral is "partial 16S ribosomal RNA". It matches the Rfam family "Bacterial small subunit ribosomal RNA", at positions 29 to 507 of the family's 1533-position model. The record is from RNAcentral.